Jaculus jaculus (lesser Egyptian jerboa) is the source of this 108-nucleotide small nuclear RNA. The record is from Ensembl. NCBI's taxonomy places the organism in Eukaryota, Metazoa, Chordata, Mammalia, Rodentia, Dipodidae.
GUGCUUGCUUCAGCAGCACAUAUACUAAAAUUGGAGUGAUACAGAGAAGAUUAGCAUGCCCCCUGCAUGAAGGAUGACACCCAAAUUCAUUAAGAAUUCCAUAUUUAG